GAUGAACGCUAGCUACAGGCUUAACACAUGCAAGUCGAGGGGCAGCAUUAUCGAAGCUUGCUUUGAUAGAUGGCGACCGGCGCACGGGUGAGUAACGCGUAUCCAACCUUCCCCAUAGUCAGGAAUAGCCCGGCGAAAGUCGAAUUAAUGCCUGAUGUUUUCCACGGACGGCAUCUGAUGUGGAACAAAGAUUGAUCGCUAUGGGAUGGGGAUGCGUCUGAUUAGCUUGUUGGCGGGGUAACGGCCCACCAAGGCAACGAUCAGUAGGGGUUCUGAGAGGAAGGUCCCCCCACAUUGGGACUGAGACACGGUCCAAACUCCUACGGGAGGCAGCAGUGAGGAAUAUUGGUCAAUGGGCGAGAGCCUGAACCAGCCAAGUAGCGUGCAGGACGACGGCCCUAUGGGUUGUAAACUGCUUUUAUAAGGGAAUAAAGUGGGUCACGUGUGACUUUUUGCAUGUACCUUAUGAAUAAGGACCGGCUAAUUCCGUGCCAGCA
RNAcentral lists this ribosomal RNA (497 nucleotides) under uncultured bacterium. Its description in RNAcentral is "bacterial SSU rRNA". It matches the Rfam family "Bacterial small subunit ribosomal RNA", at positions 28 to 513 of the family's 1533-position model. The record is from RNAcentral.